Molecule: ribosomal RNA, 301 nt
Filed under: uncultured bacterium
Lineage: Bacteria
Description: partial 16S ribosomal RNA
Rfam family: Bacterial small subunit ribosomal RNA
Source: RNAcentral
CAGUCGCCGCGGUAAUACGGAGGGGGCUAGCGUUGUUCGGAAUUACUGGGCGUAAAGCGCACGUAGGCUGCUUUGUAAGUUAGAGGUGAAAGCCUGGUGCUCAACACCAGAACUGCCUUUAAGACUGCAGAGCUAGAACGUCGGAGAGGUGAGCGGGAUUCCGAGUGUAGAGGUGAAAUUCGUAGAUAUUCGGAAGAACACCAGUGGCGAAGGCGGCUCACUGGACGACUGUUGACGCUGAGGUGCGAAAGCGUGGGGAGCAAACAGGAUUAGAGACCCCAGUAGUCCCUGUCUCUUAUAC